This 1232-nucleotide long non-coding RNA is filed under the name Pan troglodytes (chimpanzee). RNAcentral's name for it is "lincRNA". The record is from RNAcentral. Lineage: Eukaryota; Metazoa; Chordata; Mammalia; Primates; Hominidae.
GUUAUUUGGCUGCAAUGAGGUCUCAUGACUGUUUAUGUGGUGGCUCGCUGCUCAGGACAUGGAAUCAUUGGAGAUACUCAUUACUCUUUGAAGGCUUACAGUGGAAUGAAUUCAAAUACAACUUAUUUGAGGAAUUGAAGUUGACUUUAUGGAGCUGAUAAGAAUCUUCUUGGAAAAAAAAAGACUGGGUAUAUUUUCAAUAUGCUUUCCUUUUAAGGUCCCUCACCUGUGGAAAGUAAAGAAUGUCACUUUCUGACAGGCUCAGGAACCUCAAGUUAUGUAGGGAUCUCAAGAAGAUGGGGGAAUUCACCCAGUUCAUACAGGUGAAAUUGCUGUUGCGAAGAUUAUGAAUAUGAGAGAAGUCCAGCAUGGCUGACUUCAUCUCGUGUCUGGCCUCAGGCUGGCUGCCCUUGCUCACUCUUGGGCAUAGGCCAAGCUAGCCAUGGGAGGAAUUUAGUUUAUAGUUUAACUUUGAAGCACGGAUGACAAUAGUCUCUCCCUAAAAUGAACCCCUUCCUUGCUCAGGGACUGAAACUACCUUUGUAUGACAAAUGAAAGCCCACAAGAUUAAGAUUAUGAGAGGGGCCUGAAUUCUGCUAAAAUGCAGGUGUAGCUGACUGAUAACAAGUCAUUGUCCCACAGCUUGCCUUUCUAUAAUCUCUUGCUUCUCAGGAGUCACAUGGCCAGAGGUCCUGAGAUUUCCAGUCCUGUGACCCCCACCCAGAGAUGGACUUAAUGCAUGAGGACCAUUUUCCACACCCCUAUGAUUUCAUCCUCAAACAAUCAGCAGCAACCAUUCCCUAGCCCCCUGCCUGCCAAAUUAUCCAUAAAAAUCCUAGCCUCUGAGUUAUUAGGGAGAUUGAUUAAUAAUCCCAGUCCUACCCCUUGGGUUGCUCUGAUUUAAUUAAACCUUCUCUACUGCAAUACCACGGACUCAGUGAAUUGGUUUUGUCUGUGCAAUGGGCAAGAAGAACAUGUUGCAUGGUUAUACAGGUACUACAAGCACAGUCUGAUGGCAAAUUAUUGGUUUUGCUUCCUGCCCUUGAUGUUUCUAAACAUCUAGUCCAAAAUUACUUGUGAAAGGUCCAGCAAAGCCAAUUUUAAAAGAGGCUAUAUGGCCAAUCACUAUUCUUUCUACACAUUAUUGCAAAUAAUCAGGCCACGGCUGGGCACGGUGGCUCAUGCCUGCAAUCCCAGCACUUUGGGAGGCUGAGGCAGGAUCACCUGAAAUC